Molecule: long non-coding RNA, 326 nt
Filed under: Mytilus galloprovincialis (Mediterranean mussel)
Lineage: Eukaryota; Metazoa; Mollusca; Bivalvia; Mytilida; Mytilidae
Source: RNAcentral
UAUGCGAUGUAUUCAAUAAAAAAUAAACAUCAUGGCUUCAUAAAUGUUAUGUUUUCAAUAUUGUAUAAAUAAUCUGACCGUUAAACCUUGGUACAGUAUAUACGUUCCUUGUUCAAACCAUAAUAAAAAUAUAAAGUUCCCAUAAAAUCAAACAGCUUCAGAUCGUCAUAUGGAAUUAAAAUCUUAGCAAAAAAGCCGCACCCACUUAUAAGAUAUAUAAAUGUCUUUACUCUGACAUAUAUAUUGGAAUUAACUAGAUGUUCUGUAUACAAUAUUAUGCAUGCUUCACAAUAUAUCAAAAUAAAAUGCUGAACGACCCAUCCCCC